RNAcentral lists this ribosomal RNA (253 nucleotides) under uncultured bacterium. RNAcentral's name for it is "partial 16S ribosomal RNA". It matches the Rfam family "Bacterial small subunit ribosomal RNA", at positions 524 to 776 of the family's 1533-position model. The record is from RNAcentral.
UACGGGGGGGGCAAGCGUUGUUCGGAAUUACUGGGCGUAAAGGGCUCGUAGGCGGCCAACUAAGUCGGAUGUGAAAUCCCCAGGCUUAACCUGGGAACUGCAUCCGAUACUGGAUGGCUUGAAUCCGGGAGAGGGAUGCAGAAUUUCCGGUGUAGCGGUGAAAUGCGUAGAUAUCGGAAGGAACAUCAGUGGCGAAAGCGGCUUCCUGGACCAGUACCGACGUUCAGGCACGAAAGCGUGGGGAGCAAACAGG